AGCCCAUUUCACAGCUUGAAUUAGACUCGUAUAUCCGGACAAUAAUUUUGGCGCAGACGAUUGCAAAACCCGGUUGUUGGUGAACCUGAUCAAUUUAGAAAACAUAUCGAAGAACAGCGCGAAGACAAUCGCGGCAACGACUGGAAGUCUUUGGCUGUUUGUUGCCUUCAUCCCUACUUCAAACCCGAUAUUGAAAUAGGAGCGGUUGUUGGCUAAAGAAAGACUUACGGUCUUUGAUGGAGAUUUUUAUGUUCUAAUGCUUAUGUCUAAUCUUUGAUCAUUUUUGGGCUCUCUUAGAACGAAGGAGUGAUCAACACGUUCCAUGAUGGAGGCACAACUCUGUUCAACUUUGUGAAAACAUCACGGUCAAACCAUUGAUUUUCUGACAAUUUCUUAACAUGGAUGCAAUAAUGCCACAUGCUUUAGCAGCGAUGGUCGGAGCUCGGAGAAAAAAAGGUGUCUCUACGCAGUAUUAUUCAGAAUUUAUUCAAUUCUAGUUGAAAUGUUGCUGUCUUUCAGUUAUUAACUGGUGCCGAGUCGGUCAGUAUUAACAACUUAAUUAGAAAAUUUGUUAGUUGAGAGUCGGCCCUUUUCAAACUGUACUAGAAUUUGGGACAGAUUGUUUCAUGAUUUGCACUGUAGAAAUCUUCAAGAGCCAUGUAUUGAAAUUUGUACUUCCAGCUGGAGGAAUCGACUCAAAACUAGUACUGGUAUGGUACUGCCAUUAUUCCUCAUAUAAGCACAAUAGCUCACAGACUGGACAUAAUGCCAAUUGUCAUUAUAAUCACAGAGGGAAGUUCUAUAUCUGAGUCUUUGCAAAUAGAGAAGAUGUUCUUUCUGUUUGUUUUUGCAACUUCUCUUUAGGGGUUUCCACUCAAAAUCAGUGUAUUAGCAGAAGGAAGCAGCACAAGAAGACAUGUUAAUGUUACAGAGUCCUGGUUUGCUAUUAUUUCUUCCUUUGACCCAACUAAAGGGGCUGGAAUUUGACAACUUUGGUGCUCAUUGGCCGUGUUUUCUGGGCAUGCAUGUCAAUGGUCAUGAUAGCCUCCCGAGCAUCAUCAUCAUUUUGAGCCAUGUUCGUCCAAUUAAAAGAAGGGAAGGAGAAUCAUGAUUUGUGCUGGCACUGAGACAGCUGAUUAGCUAGUGUAUUUAUGGAUUCUUGAGCUCCUCUAUAAGGAGCUCGGUGGGCCCCUAGUGGGCCCGCCCGGGGAGACCCUAUAAAUUCAUAAACCCCCCUAUCCGGAGGAGGAGAAUUCGAACUCCCCACCUUUUCAUUCUCAUGUGGGAAUAGUGGCCAUUGGGGCAAACCCCCGGUGGUUUCUUAUUUCUAAUAUUUACUAUACGCCUUCGAUGAGAAAUGGCACUAGAGAUCGAAUUAGGAAUAGGAGGAAAAUGCCUAGCUGAUACAAUAAAAAUGCUAACACGAAACAAAACAUGACAAUAGAUUUACAUUGCAAA
This is a long non-coding RNA of Syzygium oleosum, 1458 nucleotides long. RefSeq lists it as uncharacterized. The record is from RefSeq and is a predicted model, not a curated record. The transcript has 2 exons. NCBI's taxonomy places the organism in Eukaryota, Viridiplantae, Streptophyta, Magnoliopsida, Myrtales, Myrtaceae.